UACGUAGGGUGCGAGCGUUGCCCGGAAUUAUUGGGCGUAAAGAGCUUGUAGGCGGUUUGUCGCGUCUGCUGUGAAAAUCCGGGGCUCAACCCCGGACUUGCAGUGGGUACGGGCAGACUAGAGUGUGGUAGGGGAGACUGGAAUUCCUGGUGUAGCGGUGAAAUGCGCAGAUAUCAGGAGGAACACCGAUGGCGAAGGCAGGUCUCUGGGCCACUACUGACGCUGAGAGGCGAAAGCAUGGGGAGCGAACAGGAUUAGAUA
This 261-nucleotide ribosomal RNA is filed under the name uncultured prokaryote. RNAcentral describes it as "partial 16S ribosomal RNA". It matches the Rfam family "Bacterial small subunit ribosomal RNA", at positions 524 to 784 of the family's 1533-position model. The record is from RNAcentral.